UACGAAGGGGGCUAGCGUUGUUCGGAAUCACUGGGCGUAAAGGGCGCGUAGGCGGCCGAUCAAGUCGGGGGUGAAAGCCUGUGGCUUAACCACAGAAUGGCCUUCGAUACUGUUUGGCUUGAGACCGGAAGAGGUUAGUGGAACUGCGAGUGUAGAGGUGAAAUUCGUAGAUAUUCGCAAGAACACCAGUGGCGAAGGCGGCUGACUGGUCCGGUUCUGACGCUGAGGUGCGAAAGCGUGGGGAGCAAACAGG
RNAcentral lists this ribosomal RNA (253 nucleotides) under uncultured bacterium. RNAcentral describes it as "partial 16S ribosomal RNA". It matches the Rfam family "Bacterial small subunit ribosomal RNA", at positions 524 to 776 of the family's 1533-position model. The record is from RNAcentral.